Molecule: transfer RNA, 76 nt
Filed under: Candidatus Falkowiibacteriota bacterium
Lineage: Bacteria; Candidatus Falkowiibacteriota
Description: tRNA-Met
Rfam family: tRNA
About the family: Transfer RNA (tRNA) molecules are approximately 80 nucleotides in length. Their secondary structure includes four short double-helical elements and three loops (D, anti-codon, and T loops). Further hydrogen bonds mediate the characteristic L-shaped molecular structure. tRNAs have two regions of fundamental functional importance: the anti-codon, which is responsible for specific mRNA codon recognition, and the 3' end, to which the tRNAs corresponding amino acid is attached (by aminoacyl-tRNA synthetases). tRNAs cope with the degeneracy of the genetic code in two manners: having more than one tRNA (with a specific anti-codon) for a particular amino acid; and 'wobble' base-pairing, i.e. permitting non-standard base-pairing at the 3rd anti-codon position.
Source: RNAcentral
AGCGGGGUAGAGCAGUUGGCAGCUCGUCAGGCCCAUAACCUGAAGGUCGUCGGUUCGAAUCCGACCCCCGCAACAA